UCUUCUUGGAUGAGUUGCGAACGGGUGAGUAACGCGUAGGUAACCUGCCUUGUAGCGGGGGAUAACUAUUGGAAACGAUAGCUAAUACCGCAUAACAAUGGAUGACACAUGUCAUUUAUUUGAAAGGGGCAAUUGCUCCACUACAAGAUGGACCUGCGUUGUAUUAGCUAGUAGGUGAGGUAAUGGCUCACCUAGGCGACGAUACAUAGCCGACCUGAGAGGGUGAUCGGCCACACUGGGACUGAGACACGGCCCAGACUCCUACGGGAGGCAGCAGUAGGGAAUCUUCGGCAAUGGGGGCAACCCUGACCGAGCAACGCCGCGUGAGUGAAGAAGGUUUUCGGAUCGUAAAGCUCUGUUGUAAGUCAAGAACGGGUGUGAGAGUGGAAAGUUCACACUGUGACGGUAGCUUACCAGAAAGGGACGGCUAACUACGUGCCAGCAGCCGCGGUAAUACGUAGGUCCCGAGCGUUGUCCGGAUUUAUUGGGCGUAAAGCGAGCGCAGGCGGUUUGAUAAGUCUGAAGUUAAAGGCUGUGGCUCAACCAUAGUUCGCUUUGGAAACUGUCAAACUUGAGUGCAGAAGGGGAGAGUGGAAUUCCAUGUGUAGCGGUGAAAUGCGUAGAUAUAUGGAGGAACACCGGUGGCGAAAGCGGCUCUCUGGUCUGUAACUGACGCUGAGGCUCGAAAGCGUGGGGAGCGAACAGGAUUAGAUACCCUGGUAGUCCACGCCGUAAACGAUGAGUGCUAGGUGUUGGAUCCUUUCCGGGAUUCAGUGCCGCAGCUAACGCAUUAAGCACUCCGCCUGGGGAGUACGACCGCAAGGUUGAAACUCAAAGGAAUUGACGGGGGCCCGCACAAGCGGUGGAGCAUGUGGUUUAAUUCGAAGCAACGCGAAGAACCUUACCAGGUCUUGACAUCCCGAUGCUAUUUCUAGAGAUAGAAAGUUACUUCGGUACAUCGGUGACAGGUGGUGCAUGGUUGUCGUCAGCUCGUGUCGUGAGAUGUUGGGUUAAGUCCCGCAACGAGCGCAACCCCUAUUGUUAGUUGCCAUCAUUCAGUUGGGCACUCUAGCGAGACUGCCGGUAAUAAACCGGAGGAAGGUGGGGAUGACGUCAAAUCAUCAUGCCCCUUAUGACCUGGGCUACACACGUGCUACAAUGGUUGGUACAACGAGUUGCGAGUCGGUGACGGCGAGCUAAUCUCUUAAAGCCAAUCUCAGUUCGGAUUGUAGGCUGCAACUCGCCUACAUGAAGUCGGAAUCGCUAGUAAUCGCGGAUCAGCACGCCGCGGUGAAUACGUUCCCGGGCCUUGUACACACCGCCCGUCACACCACGAGAGUUUGUAACACCCGAAGUCGGUGAGGUAACCUUUUGAGCCAGC
Molecule: ribosomal RNA, 1381 nt
Filed under: Streptococcus lutetiensis
Lineage: Bacteria; Bacillati; Bacillota; Bacilli; Lactobacillales; Streptococcaceae
Description: bacterial SSU rRNA
Rfam family: Bacterial small subunit ribosomal RNA
Source: RNAcentral